This 98-nucleotide transfer RNA is filed under the name Methylobacterium trifolii. Its description in RNAcentral is "tRNA-Ile". Lineage: Bacteria; Pseudomonadati; Pseudomonadota; Alphaproteobacteria; Hyphomicrobiales; Methylobacteriaceae. The record is from RNAcentral.
CGGGCUCGUUGUUGGCCCCGUUGUAGUCGGCCGGGUAAUAGCCGGCGCCGGUGGGGAAGUUGUAGGUGAUCGACGUGCCGUCCCAUCGGGAGCCCGAC